UCUUAUGUACAUGGCUACAACAUUAAUGUAGUGGAUCCCAUUAGAACUCUGUGGUUAAACGCGCUUGGCCUAGAGUAGUACUGGGAUGGGUGACCACUUAGGAAGUCAUAGUGUUUUACAC
This is a non-coding RNA of Picea glauca (white spruce), 121 nucleotides long. The record is from Rfam. NCBI's taxonomy places the organism in Eukaryota, Viridiplantae, Streptophyta, Pinopsida, Pinales, Pinaceae.